AACUCUUUUUUAAGUACGGGUAUAAAAAAAGCAAAAUAGCACAAGAAGAAAAUACCAGAAGACCGCCAAGAAGUCGCCAAGAAAUGAAAUGCAAUCCAAUAAACCAAAAAAAUAAAAUAAAAGCCUCCACUGGAACAAGCAAAAAGCAGUUUAAUUUUCAGAGGUUUUCCUCCGCUCAUCAGAUCAGAGCAGAGCAGAGCGGGGAGUGUUCUGAAUAUAUGUAUUAAAGGUAUUAUAGGUAGAUAAUUGUACACUCUCUAUGAGCUGUUUUAGAGCUUUUCUGUGCUGCUUUCUGAGGCAUAUGCGUGAAAUACAGUGAAUGGAUUACCUUCAGGCGUAUCUAUUAGAAGUUGCUGAGACUUCGAAGUCAGAAGUGUGGCGUUCUGCUGCAUUCAAUUUGAAAGAAAAUACAAAAAAUUCUACCAAAACAUAAACCGACAAAAAUCAAUAGAGUUCGCAUGUGUUUUACUUGCUUGGAAAAGUAUUUCAUCUAGUUAGCAUUUACUUUUCUGUUCGUAUCGUUUGAUUUGAGGCUGGGCAAUAUUUCAUUCUAGCACUGACUUUGGAGCUGUACGCUUGUUUUUAUAUUUUUGUAUUUUUAGUAUUAGCGUAAAACAAAAUUUCUAUCGUUUUACAAAUUUUAAGUAUCUAAAAGUAUCUAAUUGUUUCAACAAAAUUUCCAUCCACGUUCGGACGAAGUCACGCAACU
This is a long non-coding RNA of Drosophila obscura, 709 nucleotides long. RefSeq lists it as uncharacterized. The transcript is spliced from 2 exons. The record is from RefSeq and is a predicted model, not a curated record. Lineage: Eukaryota; Metazoa; Arthropoda; Insecta; Diptera; Drosophilidae.